GAUCCUGGCUCAGGAUGAACGCUAGCUACAGGCUUAACACAUGCAAGUCGAGGGGGCAGCAUGAACUUAGCUUGCUAAGUUUGAUGGCGACCGGCGCACGGGUGAGUAACACGUAUCCAACCUGCCGAUGACUCGGGGAUAGCCUUUCGAAAGAAAGAUUAAUACCCGAUGGCAUAGUUCUUCCGCAUGGUAGAACUAUUAAAGAACUUCGGUCAUCGAUGGGGAUGCGUUCCAUUAGGUUGUUGGG
This 247-nucleotide ribosomal RNA is filed under the name uncultured bacterium. Its description in RNAcentral is "partial 16S ribosomal RNA". It matches the Rfam family "Bacterial small subunit ribosomal RNA", at positions 15 to 253 of the family's 1533-position model. The record is from RNAcentral.